RNAcentral lists this ribosomal RNA (253 nucleotides) under uncultured bacterium. RNAcentral's name for it is "partial 16S ribosomal RNA". It matches the Rfam family "Bacterial small subunit ribosomal RNA", at positions 524 to 776 of the family's 1533-position model. The record is from RNAcentral.
UACGUAGGGUGCAAGUGUUAAUCGGAAUUACUGGGCGUAAAGCGUGCGCAGGAGGUUUUGUAAGUCUGUCGUGAAAGCCCCGGGCUCAACCUGGGAAUUGCGAUGGAGACUGCAAGGCUUGAAUCUGGCAGAGGGGGGUAGAAUUCCACGUGUAGCAGUGAAAUGCGUAGAGAUGUGGAGGAACACCGAUGGCGAAGGCAGCCCCCUGGGUCAAGAUUGACGCUCAUGCACGAAAGCGUGGGGAGCAAACAGG